This 579-nucleotide ribosomal RNA is filed under the name Brachyseps anosyensis. Its description in RNAcentral is "partial 16S ribosomal RNA". It matches the Rfam family "Bacterial large subunit ribosomal RNA", at positions 1796 to 2620 of the family's 2925-position model. The record is from RNAcentral. Lineage: Eukaryota; Metazoa; Chordata; Lepidosauria; Squamata; Scincidae.
UCGCCUGUUUAUCAAAAACAUAGCCUUUAGCCUCACAAGUAUUAAAGGUCCCGCCUGCCCAGUGAUAAUUUAAUUUAACGGCCGCGGUAUUCUAACCGUGCAAAGGUAGCGUAAUCACUUGUCUUUUAAAUAAAGACCAGUAUGAACGGCUAAAUGAGGACAAACCUGUCUCUUAUAACUAAUCAGUGAAACUGAUCUUCCAGUCCAAAAGCUGGAAUAUCCACAUUAGACGAGAAGACCCUGUGGAGCUUCAAACUAACCACUAACAAGCAAGUACAACCGCACCUAGUGUACAGUUUUAAGUUGGGGCGACUUUGGAACAAAACAAAACUUCCAAGCACAGAGCCACAAACUCUAACCACGGCCAACAGGCCAAAGUUUAAAUAAUAAAGAUCCAGUAACACUGAUUAACGAACCAAGUUACCCCAGGGAUAACAGCGCUAUCUUCUUCAAGAGUCCCUAUCGACAAGAAGGUUUACGACCUCGAUGUUGGAUCAGGACACCCAAAUGGUGCAGCCGCUAUUAAAGGUUCGUUUGUUCAACGAUUAACAGUCCUACGUGAUCUGAGUUCAGACCGGA